GAUGAACGCUGGCGGCGUGCCUAAUACAUGCAAGUCGAGCGAACAGACGAGGAGCUUGCUCCUCUGACGUUAGCGGCGGACGGGUGAGUAACACGUGGAUAACCUACCUAUAAGACUGGGAUAACUUCGGGAAACCGGAGCUAAUACCGGAUAAUAUAUUGAACCGCAUGGUUCAAUAGUGAAAGACGGUUUUGCUGUCACUUAUAGAUGGAUCCGCGCCGCAUUAGCUAGUUGGUAAGGUAACGGCUUACCAAGGCAACGAUGCGUAGCCGACCUGAGAGGGUGUCCGGCCACACUGGAACUGAGACACGGUCCAGACUCCUAAGGGAGGCAGCAGUAGGUAAUCUUCCGCAAUGGGCGAAAGCUUGACGGAGCAACGCCGCGUGAGUGAUGAAGAUCUUCGGAUCGUAAAACUCUGUUAUUAGGGAAGAACAAAUGUGUAAGUAACUAUGCACGUCUUGACGGUACCUAAUCAGAAAGCCACGGCUAACUACGUG
This 497-nucleotide ribosomal RNA is filed under the name uncultured bacterium. RNAcentral describes it as "partial 16S ribosomal RNA". It matches the Rfam family "Bacterial small subunit ribosomal RNA", at positions 28 to 507 of the family's 1533-position model. The record is from RNAcentral.